UUUUUUUUUUUUUUUUUUUCCCUCAAUUGCCUUGCCCCCCACAUGACCCAUUGAAUUGUCGGGCUACGCUGAUCCAGAUCCUAUUAAUUCUGCAACAUAUUGCUAGAAUGGUUCUAGACCUGCAGGCCAAAUGUCUCCAAGAGGCAAUAAAUGCUUGGGAAACUUUUCUUUUCAGAAAAAAAAAAAAAAAAACUUUUUUAUGCUUCCUUCAUAUUUGUUUUCAAUAUUUUUUCCCACCAUUUCCAAGCUUUUUUUGCCAUUGUUGUUGUUGUUGAUAAUCUUGACUGUUGAUUAGUUUUUAGGAAAGCUUAUUGAAUAUCUACUAGUGGAUGUGUUUGUGGUGGUUUGCCGGAUUGAAGUUUUCAUUUAUCAAUUGGAAUGGGUUUAAUUGGAAUGCCAGGUGAUGUUUGGGAAAUUGCGCAAGGGCUUUGAGCCCUGCAGUGUAUCUACUGUAAGGGACUGUGAAAUAAUCGAAACUGAUAUGUCCCUCCUGAUGGCAUUCUGUAAUUUUACACUGUUAUUCAUUAGAUGUAAGUUUAUCUUGUGUAUGCAAUUGUUGAAAGUUCUCUGGAGUAAUGUGCAUAAAUGCAUAAUCAAUUGACAAAAUUGACUGCUGUUGCUUAAUGCUCAUCUUUUAGUGCUCCUGAAUUCCUCUCCUGUUUUGUUAAAUAUUAUUGGGCAUGAAAUGGUGAUUGUUGUUGGGGCUGCUAGUUGAUGAUGGUGAUAUGCACAAGGGCUUUGAGUUCCAUGUAAUGGAAAAUAUAAAUUAGUUAUGUACUACCAUCCCUUCUGUUCUGACGGUACUGGGAACAUGUAAAGAAGCAAAUAAGGCCGACUGCUAUUACUAUGCAUAUAUUGUGCUUGUUUGGCAUCUCUUCUGAAGUUCUGAGAAUGAACAAUUUUCCAAAAGCAUCUGUUUUGGAUUUUAUUUUUAUUUUUUUUUUGCCAAAGAAGAUCAAAUCUACCAAAAGAACAAAUUUGUAAUUUCCUUUAACAAUAUAUUCAAUAUGAUGCUUUUCUUAAUAUAUCUAAUACAACAAUGGCAAACAGAUGACUGAACCAUUUAACAAAUUCUUCUAUAAGGCCAUGUGUCACAUUGGGAUUUUUUUGUAACAUUUCUUCUAUUCUCAAAAUUGCUUUUGUAACAUUUCUGACAUCUUACCAUUUAUAGUGUACAUCUUUUAUGCAACUUGUAGCAUUAGAAUUGCCAAGAAUUGAAGUUUCAUCGACUUUAAACCUUUGGUUUCACAAAAUUUGAUUUUGGAUCCAAAAAUUUUUGUUGCUAACUAAACAUGUUCGCCCAUCUCUAGGGAAGUGAAAAAAAAUCCAAAGGAGUUGUUCAGCAUCCUUCAUUUUCUUUUCUAAAUUGUAGUUAAUUCCUCUAUCUUAACCGUGAUCAAUCUUGGCCCGGAGUGGUUUGUCACCAAGAUCUAAUUUUGUUUCCAGGCUCACAUGUAAUGAACCAUGAGCAAUCGAACAUAAUUCGCCGACAUAGAAUUUAGCCUUUUGGAUGUGGGCCAAUCUAAGCAGCAGGUCAGGCAAUGCAAAUCCUAGCUUAAGCCCUUUCUGUUGGCACAAUUUCAACAGGUCAGAGCAGCAGAGCUUAUAUGCCACCCAUCCUGACUUUUCUCUGUUGUUUAGAUUGUUUGUUUGCCAUCCAAAAUCGUAAGCUCAUUGUUUUCUGUCUUUUAGAUCAUUUUGUUCAUUUCCAGAUGAUUUAAUUCUUGUCAACUAUUGUUUCCUUGUUCAUUCAUUCUGAAAAUUUCGUUAUAUUUGUGCAAGACAAGGGAAAUGUUUCUUGGACGCUUACCCCUUUUCUUAUUUGAACACUGGCUGAAUUCAUGUCAUAAUAUUUGCCUUUUUCCUUAUCACCCAAUUUUUAAAUUUACAAUAUUUUAGCUUAUUAAUUAGAAUAUAUGCAUAUGCGAAAGAAACAAAUAUAUUAUGAAUCGAAAUUAAAAACUCCACUUUAGUUUGAAGAAGGAGGUGGAAGUUUUAUUCCUGGAAUCCAAUUUCCUAGAAAUCAUCUUUAUAUGAAAGGGCAAAUAGACAGAAAUUUGACAAGAAGAGCUGCAAAUAGACAGAAAUUUGAUAAGAAGAGCUUUACUUCUCCGAAGUUACAAAAGAUGAAUGAUUCUCACGCGAGGGCUUGCCAAGUUGCCAUAAGAUAUGUAUGUGUGCCAUCAGACCAGCACUUCCUAUAUACAUGAAUAUCAAUUACUUCCAAGGACAAAAAUUUAAAUAGAUGAGAAAGAAGUUCACAUCAUAGCUAAUAUAAGCCAUAAUAAAUUUUGCAUUGCUUAUCUCAUGCAUGAGAUCCCUGUUAGUACAAAAUCACAUUGACAUGCUACUCCUCUUCCUACUCUAUAACUCUCCAAAACUUAAAUCAUAAAAGGAGUUUGUUUCUUACCCAGAAGAUAAAAAGUACAAUAAGUGCCACCUCCAAAAAGAUACCAUCAUAUGCACCUUUACUAGAAGAACUAACAUGCGUGCCCUUUUUUUCACAUUUGGACAAUACAACUUUGUCAAGUGGAGUGAACUGUGAAGAAGAUAUUGGAAUCUUAGUCUCUUUUUAUAACUUUUGAUUUGGGUUCAUGCCCUAGGGCCUAAGGGACAUCUUUCCAUCUGUCUUUAAGUCUUCUUUUCAAGAGUAAAUUAAAGAAAUUUAAAAAAAUAAAAAAUCAAAGAGAAGAAGGUUAAUAUCAUGAAUAAAAAAGUGAAGCAAAAGUGGCCCAAAAGUAAAUCCCUUGAUGAGAAGGCUGAGGAAUAGCGUUGCAAUUUAUUUACCAUUUCCUUCAGAAACCCUUCUUAUGAAAGCAAGGAAAAUAAUGAUUAAAGCGACUCCAGCAAAUAAUCCGAUGAUAAUUGCAAAUGUCUUCUCGCCCUCGUCCAUAGAUUUAUCAUUAUGAGUAUUGGUAUAAACAUGAGCAACGCCGGUGGAGUACCUAGCAUAGCACUUAGUCAAGAACAUAUCGCCAUAAACCGCGGUGCUGCAAUCGGUUUUCAACCGGCUGAUUGCCUCCGACAGGCAAUCCUGACACUCUCCUAAGCUCAAAUCUCCAAUACAUUGGGCAAAACCCUGGACCUCGCCCGACCCACCAACUCGAUACAGCCCUCCAGGCCGAGCAAGGUCCGCCAUCACGGCAUCCCUAACACUCAUAGUAUUUGUAUCAUACCCAGUGGAGGGCCCGCAUUUCUUGAAGACCACUGUCUUAUCCUCCACUCCUAGAAACGUAGCAUUAUCGUACUUUACAUAACAAUCUUGAAGUUGCACUGCUCCACCGCAUGUCUGAGAACACAAAGAACCAAUUUGACUCACUGCUUGUGCUACGCAGUUAGCGCAAUCCGGCAUGGAAAGGUCGCCGCGACACUGGAAAAGGCCGUAGACGACGUCUUGUGGGAUGGAGCCCAUGAUGGUGUAGUUGUUGUACGAGGAGUAGGUGGCUGAGUUAACAAGAGAAGUGAGAAGAGAGUUGAUGUUGGAUUCGUAAGGUGAGUCUGGUGCGUAUUUCUGCUGAGUGCAGCCGCCGAAGACGAAGGAAUUGGCGGAGGAAGGAGAAGCAAUGGGAAGAAAUGAGUUAAAGAAAAGGGAAAUGAAGAUGAGAAAAUCAGAAGUUGUUCUUGCCAUUUCUCGACAACUUUGUGGACAGAAACAGAUAGGGUUUAACAAGGGAU
This 3675-nucleotide unclassified non-coding RNA is filed under the name Hevea brasiliensis (rubber tree). Lineage: Eukaryota; Viridiplantae; Streptophyta; Magnoliopsida; Malpighiales; Euphorbiaceae. The record is from RNAcentral.